RNAcentral lists this ribosomal RNA (585 nucleotides) under uncultured bacterium. RNAcentral describes it as "partial 16S ribosomal RNA". It matches the Rfam family "Bacterial small subunit ribosomal RNA", at positions 355 to 1375 of the family's 1533-position model. The record is from RNAcentral.
UAGGGAAUUUUGGACAAUGGGCGAAAGCCUGAUCCAGCAAUGCCGCGUGUGUGAAGAAGGCCUUCGGGUUGUAAAGCACUUUUGUCCGGAAAGAAAUCCUUGGCUCUAAUACAGUCGGGGGAUGACGGUACCGGAAGAAUAAGCACCGGCUAACUACGUGCCAGCAGCCGCGGUAAUACGUAGGGUGCAAGCGUUAGUCGGAAUUACUGGGCGUAAAGCGUGCGCAGGCGGUUUGCUAAGACCGAUGUGAAAUCCCCGGGCUCAACCUGGGAACUGCAUUGGUGACUGGCAGGCUAGAGUAUGGCAGAGGGGGGUAGAAUUCCACGUGUAGCAGUGAAAUGCGUAGAGAUGUGGAGGAAUACCGAUGGCGAAGGCAGCCCCCUGGGCCAAUACUGACGCUCAUGCACGAAAGCGUGGGGAGCAAACAGGAUUAGAUACCCUGGUAGUCCACGCCCUAAACGAUGUCAACUAGUUGUUGGGGAUUCAUUUCCUUAGUAACGUAGCUAACGCGUGAAGUUGACCGCCUGGGGAGUACGGUCGCAAGAUUAAAACUUAAAGGAAUUGACGGGGUCAUAGCUGUUUCCU